UAUAGAAUAUAAACAUAACUAAAAUACCUUAAAGACCAAACAGCAUAUUAUUUAAGUGCAUUUGGAAGCACCACUUGAAUUGUUUUUUGCUUUGCUCUAAUAGUCUAAAGCAGAUUAUCUUCAAUGUGCAAGGGCAAGGGCAAUAACAAAAAAAACACCCCAAAACUUUGUUUUGCUUAAAAAAUGUGUGCAACACAGGUGAGCCUUAACAACUUGGGGGCAGGACCUAUUUCGACUUCGGGAUCCGGUGUCUUUAAGCUCAGGAUUUCGGGAUUGAUCCUUUCAGGAUCUGGGAAUCCUUUUUCUAAAUUCAGGAUGUCAGGUUUAAAUUUCUUUAAAUUCCUGACCUCAGGAGUUAAUAUUUUAAAGCCCAGGAUUUCUGGAUCAAGACCCCUCAUACCCUCCCUUGUCUGAGACAUUAUUGAGAAAAAACGAUGAUAUAAGUAAAUUUUAAUAAAAAACCUGGCAUGAAUUGUACAAAUGAGAGAGCUAAUGAUUCAUUUUUUCAUACAAUCAAUAUUUCUGUAGGGAUUAACUCUUCUGAAAAUAACUGAUCUGUACUGAUUUUCAAAUUCGUCCAAGACAUCGCUGAUAUAACCAAUAAUAUAAAGGAGUAGGUUCAGUAAGACCCCUUUUUGGCCCCAAAAUAUAGCAGUUUUACAAAAUUGUGAAAAUGCAAUAUUUAAUCUAUUUAUUGGAAAGAAGAAUGUGUCUGCUACAUGGAUAUGGGCUGUUUUUGACAAUACAAUGCACAUAUAUCGGGUAGUAGCACCAUCAAGUCAAUCUAAAUUACUGAAAUCUUCAAAAUUUUAGCAUUUUAGUUAAAUUUUAGACGGUUUCCGUCUAAAUGGGAAGUGGCCGCAUUCGUGUUCAUUCAUAAUAUUGAAAUGUAAGUUGUAUUUGUUGAUUAUACAUAAUAUAUAUAAAGGUUGAGG
Molecule: long non-coding RNA, 935 nt
Filed under: Mytilus galloprovincialis (Mediterranean mussel)
Lineage: Eukaryota; Metazoa; Mollusca; Bivalvia; Mytilida; Mytilidae
Source: RNAcentral